UACAGAGGGGGCAAGCGUUGUCCGGAAUCAUUGGGCGUAAAGCGCGUGUAGGCGGUCCGGUAAGUCGGCUGUGAAAGUCCAGGGCUCAACCCUGGGAUGCCGGUCGAUACUGCCGGACUAGAGUUCGGAAGAGGCGAGUGGAAUUCCCAGUGUAGCGGUGAAAUGCGUAGAUAUUGGGAAGAACACCGGAGGCGAAGGCGGGUUGCUGGGCCGAUACUGACGCUGAGGCGCGAAAGCCAGGGGAGCAAACGGG
RNAcentral lists this ribosomal RNA (253 nucleotides) under uncultured bacterium. RNAcentral's name for it is "partial 16S ribosomal RNA". It matches the Rfam family "Bacterial small subunit ribosomal RNA", at positions 524 to 776 of the family's 1533-position model. The record is from RNAcentral.